UGUGGGAGCUGGCUUGCCUGCGAUAGCGGUGUAUCAGUUACAGGUUUUUAACCUGUUACACCGCUAUCGCAGGCAAGCCAGCUCCCACA
RNAcentral lists this unclassified non-coding RNA (89 nucleotides) under Pseudomonas cedrina. The record is from RNAcentral. Lineage: Bacteria; Pseudomonadati; Pseudomonadota; Gammaproteobacteria; Pseudomonadales; Pseudomonadaceae.